RNAcentral lists this ribosomal RNA (204 nucleotides) under Triticum aestivum (bread wheat). RNAcentral's name for it is "partial small subunit ribosomal RNA". The record is from RNAcentral. Lineage: Eukaryota; Viridiplantae; Streptophyta; Magnoliopsida; Poales; Poaceae.
AUGCGCUGCUCUCCCGCUGGUACGCUGCUGCGCCAUGCCCUCGACACGCCGUCGACAAAUGCGGCGGAGGGAUUGUUAAUGGAGUACGAGAAGGAGGUGGCGGAGAAGGUGUGGAGAGGCAGGAGGUCUGGGGCGGUGUCACCUGGCUGUGAUGGAGGUGUUUAUGCGAGAAGGAGCCGGAGUGGAAGGAGAGGUCACAAUUAA